Molecule: long non-coding RNA, 343 nt
Organism: Tyto alba (common barn owl)
Lineage: Eukaryota; Metazoa; Chordata; Aves; Strigiformes; Tytonidae
Exons: 2
Source: RefSeq, a predicted model, not a curated record
UAUGAAAUAUCUUCCAGUGGACAAGUGGUGGAAAUGAAGUUGACCGGCUGGUUUUGUGCACGCCGGUUAAUGCUAAUCUCCAAUCAAAUCUGUUUUCGCUUUCCAAAUGCUAAUUCAUCUGUGGAACGCCCCUCGGGCUAAGCAUCGCCCCCACUUUACAUGGAGGAAACCAGGAGACGAGGCCACACAGCAUAUCAAUGUCCAAUUUGGGAUCAGGAUGUGAGGCUUUCAUGGUUCUCCACUUAACUCUCAGACCAUCCCAUUGAACUUUAUUAUCUGCCACGGCCUCUCCCUUGCAAUGCGUCUUGUAAUUGGGGUUAAAAAAUAAAGGCAGAGCUAGAAA